Drosophila pseudoobscura is the source of this 1438-nucleotide long non-coding RNA. RefSeq lists it as uncharacterized. Lineage: Eukaryota; Metazoa; Arthropoda; Insecta; Diptera; Drosophilidae. The transcript is spliced from 2 exons. The record is from RefSeq and is a predicted model, not a curated record.
CCUUUUCUCCACCGAAAUAAACUUUAAUGCGAACCAUUCGUUUGGUUGUGGGCUCCGUCCGCUGUUUCUGCUGCUCUGUUAAAUUUCUGGUUAAAUUUUGUGCGCAGUCAGCUCGCGAUGCAGUUCGAGGCGGCCACUCAAACGGGGUUGGAGCUUGAAAUGUGGUAGACGGGUGGGUUGGGUUGGGUUGGUUAAGGAUCGCUUAAAUGGGUUGAAUAUGGAUUGGGUUACGCAAGGGUUUGGGCAUUUAUUAGAAAUCAGUUUUUCUUUAGGGGAAUAUCUAUUGAUAUUUUGGAUCUCUGGCGAUACAGUUGGUCAGGAAACUAAACAAGCUCUAAAAUAUAUUUUUUUAAUCCUAAUUAGAUACUAAACUCAUAAUUUUAUUGGGUAUAUCGAUAGGCUUUAAUCCUUUGCGCAGUCUCGCAGCAAGCUCUAAUGUGAGGAAACCAAAAUUCAACAUUGCCGGACGGAAUGCUGGCUGCCUGCAUGCUGUUUAUAGUUUCCACUAUAAACCGUAUAUGAAUUUUGCCAUCGCUCGGUUUUUGGCACGCAAACGCACCGACCAACCAGCCAACCAACCCAGCUAGCAGGCCAGGCCAACACAACAACUAACGUCCUCGACAAGCCCCAGUCCAACAGUCGUCAGGCCGUCAUCCACUUUGGCCCCUCCACCGCUCCACCCUGGCACCCGUCCCUGGCACCACCAUUCGCUCGUUGGCCAUACAAUCUGAAAAUAUAGAAAAAGCAACAAAAACGCCGCCGACAUUUGGGAAGUUCGUUCGUUCGUUAGUAUCGCCAGAGCCAGAGCCUCGCACAGCAGAUAUGUAUGUACAAAUACGAACGAAAGCACCAACACACGCAUACUAUUCUCGUAUACAGUCGUGCAACAACCGUACGUACACAUACAAAUUUAUAUAUAGUCACCGAUACAGGCGCACUGGAAGCAACGACGGACGAAAUGCUCUAUAGAUAUAGAUAGAUAGGACCGCGUCGCGUCGGGGGCUGAUAAUGGGGGAUGGUUGGAUGUGGCUUAUAGGGAAGGUGAAAACGAAAGAUCUUUAGGGGAUAACUGCCAUGGAGGGAGGUUUCUGGAAGCCAAACUAAUUAGACUCUUCAAUUUCAUAAUAUUUACCACCAAAAUCUAAGGGGAUUCCUAAAUUUAAGAAAGAAUAUUGAGAAUUAUUUGUUUAAAAACAAAUGAAAUUUAGGUUUUGAAAACCUUGUAGUUGUUAGAAAGAUCUUAAAUAAUGGAUCAUGGAAUUAUUUUGAGGGACAGAUUGGAACAAUUGAACUAAUACUGAAAGUUAUCUCUCAAGAAAGAUAAUGUUAAGUUGAUAUGGAUGAUGGUCAAUUUGGUCGAGUAUUUGGUUAUAUUCUUUACUCUUUAAAAGAUAUUCUGGAAAUAAUUAAAACUUAAAUUCGUCAUAUUCUACAGCAU